Molecule: small nucleolar RNA, 214 nt
Organism: Pistacia vera
Lineage: Eukaryota; Viridiplantae; Streptophyta; Magnoliopsida; Sapindales; Anacardiaceae
Product: small nucleolar RNA U3
Exons: 1
Source: RefSeq, a predicted model, not a curated record
ACGACCUUACUUGAACAGGAUCUGUUCUAUAGGCUCGUACCUCUGUGUCUUUGAGUUCUAAGAAGACAGGAUAUCAAAUCUGGUGGAUGAAUCAUGACCGUGAGAUCAGAGCGUGAUUAACAGAGACCAAUGAUGUAGAUCACUGGCCUCAGUAGAGGAUCGUUCUCAGCCAUUGAAAAGUGGUUGGGGUGAUCCCACGGUUGUCUGACAGAUU